Bombus pascuorum is the source of this 278-nucleotide long non-coding RNA. RefSeq lists it as uncharacterized. The transcript has 2 exons. The record is from RefSeq and is a predicted model, not a curated record. Lineage: Eukaryota; Metazoa; Arthropoda; Insecta; Hymenoptera; Apidae.
AUCGUCAAUUAAAAGAAUAUUUUAAUAUUUGACGUAAUAUGCUAACAUUUAUUUCUGUAAAAUAUUAUGUAACGAUUGACAGAAAAUUAUCGUUCUAGAAAUUAUAAUCGGUUAUGUUUUGGUAUUAUACUCUGAAAAAUCAUACAUAGAAAUAUCAUAGAUAUCGCGUUUAACCAUUAUUAUUAGAUUCCUUCAUUAGAUAAUUAAAAUUUACACAAUUGUACCGAAUUUUAAGGAUAGGGUAUAUUCACAAUAAACUAAAAGAACAAUAAAUUGAA